Molecule: ribosomal RNA, 253 nt
Filed under: uncultured bacterium
Lineage: Bacteria
Description: partial 16S ribosomal RNA
Rfam family: Bacterial small subunit ribosomal RNA
Source: RNAcentral
GACGUAGGGCGCGAGCGUUAAUCGGAAUUACUGGGCGUAAAGCGUGCGCAGGCGGUUUUGUAAGACAGGUGUGAAAUCCCCGGGCUCAACCUGGGAACUGCGCUUGUGACUGCAAGACUCGAGUACGGCAGAGGGGGGUGGAAUUCCACGUGUAGCAGUGAAAUACGUAGAUAUCUGGAGGAACACCGGUGGCGAAGGCGGCAUCCUGGACCAACACUGACACUGAGGAGCGAAAGCCAGGGGAGCAAACGGG